CCUACGGGAGGCAGCAGUAAGGAAUAUUGGACAAUGCUCGCAAGAGUGAUCCAGCCAUGCCGCGUGCAGGAAGAAUGCCCUAUGGGUAGUAAACUGCUUUUGAACUAGAGAAAACCCCCAGUACGUGUACUGGGCUGAUAGUAUAGUUAGAAUAAGCAUCGGCUAACUUCGUGCCAGCAGCCGCGGUAAGACGAAGGAUGCAAGCGUUAUCCGGAUUCAUUGGGUUUAAAGGGAGCGUAGGUGGACUUAUAAGUCAGUGGUGAAAUCUCCGAGCUUAACUCGGAAAUUGCCAUUGAUACUGUAGGUCUUGAGUACAGUUGCUGUGGGCGGAAUAUGACAUGUAGUGGUGAAAUACAUAGAGAUGUCAUAGAACACCGAUUGCGAAGGCAGCUCACAAAGCUGUAACUGACACUGAGGCUCGAAAGUGCGGGGAUCAAACAGGAUUAGAUACCCUGGUAGUCCGCACCGUAAACGAUGAUUACUCGCUGCUAGGGGGCAACCUUUAGUGGCUUAGCGAAAGCGAUAAGUAAUCCACCUGGGAGUACGCCGGCAACGGUGAAACUCAAAUGAUUGACGGCUUGGAGGACGNGCGACGGCGACGACGAGGGGAGGAGG
This 615-nucleotide ribosomal RNA is filed under the name uncultured bacterium. RNAcentral's name for it is "bacterial SSU rRNA". It matches the Rfam family "Bacterial small subunit ribosomal RNA", at positions 338 to 1240 of the family's 1533-position model. The record is from RNAcentral.